UGGGGGAUAUUGCGCAAUGGGCGGAAGCCUGACGCAGCGACGCCGCGUGGGGGAAGAAAGCCUUCGGGUUGUAAACCCCAGUCAUCAGGGAUGAAUAGGACAGUACCUGAAGAGGAAGCCCCGGCUAACUACGUGCCAGCAGCCGCGGUAAUACGUAGGGGGCGAGCGUUGUCCGGAAUUACUGGGCGUAAAGGGCGUGUAGGCGGGGGUGCAAGUUAUCGGUAAAAACCCGAGGCUCAACCACGGGCCUGCCGAUAAAACUGCAUCUCUUGAGUGCAGGAGAGGGGAAUGGAAUUCCCGGAGUAGCGGUGAAAUGCGUAGAUACCGGGAGGAACACCAGUGGCGAAGGCGGUUCCCUGGCCUGUAACUGACGCUGAGGCGCGAAAGCUGGGGUAGCGAACGGG
This 404-nucleotide ribosomal RNA is filed under the name uncultured bacterium. Its description in RNAcentral is "bacterial SSU rRNA". It matches the Rfam family "Bacterial small subunit ribosomal RNA", at positions 355 to 776 of the family's 1533-position model. The record is from RNAcentral.